RNAcentral lists this transfer RNA (69 nucleotides) under Ursus arctos (brown bear). Its description in RNAcentral is "tRNA-His". It matches the Rfam family "tRNA". From Rfam's summary of the family: Transfer RNA (tRNA) molecules are approximately 80 nucleotides in length. Their secondary structure includes four short double-helical elements and three loops (D, anti-codon, and T loops). Further hydrogen bonds mediate the characteristic L-shaped molecular structure. tRNAs have two regions of fundamental functional importance: the anti-codon, which is responsible for specific mRNA codon recognition, and the 3' end, to which the tRNAs corresponding amino acid is attached (by aminoacyl-tRNA synthetases). tRNAs cope with the degeneracy of the genetic code in two manners: having more than one tRNA (with a specific anti-codon) for a particular amino acid; and 'wobble' base-pairing, i.e. permitting non-standard base-pairing at the 3rd anti-codon position. The record is from RNAcentral. Lineage: Eukaryota; Metazoa; Chordata; Mammalia; Carnivora; Ursidae.
GUAAAUAUAGUUUAACAAAAACAUUAGAUUGUGAAUCUAAUAAUAAAAGUCCGAGCCUUUUUAUUUACC